CAUAAUGGGGAUAUACCCAGCUGGGAAUGACUUGCCGGUUACAUAUGCUCUUACUGGGUAAAUAUAAAGCCUAUAACAUCAUCUUGUCAUUAUUAACCCAAUGUCAUUUCCAAUGGGGCAUUUGUU
Xenopus tropicalis (tropical clawed frog) is the source of this 126-nucleotide long non-coding RNA. RefSeq lists it as uncharacterized. The record is from RefSeq and is a predicted model, not a curated record. NCBI's taxonomy places the organism in Eukaryota, Metazoa, Chordata, Amphibia, Anura, Pipidae. The transcript has 2 exons.